AUUGAACGCUGGCGGAAUGCUUUACACAUGCAAGUCGAACGGCAGCACGGGGGCAGCCCUGGUGGCGAGUGGCGAACGGGUGAGUAAUACAUCGGAACGUGCCCGGUCGUGGGGGAUAACGUAGCGAAAGUUACGCUAAUACCGCAUACGAUCUGAGGAUGAAAGCGGGGGACCUUCGGGCCUCGCGCGAUCGGAGCGGCCGAUGUCAGAUUAGGUAGUUGGUGGGGUAAAGGCCUACCAAGCCGACGAUCUGUAGCUGGUCUGAGAGGACGACCAGCCACACUGGGACUGAGACACGGCCCAGACUCCUACGGGUGGCAGCAGUGGGGAAUUUUGGACAAUGGGCGCAAGCCUGAUCCAGCCAUUCCGCGUGCAGGACGAAGGCCUUCGGGUUGUAAACUGCUUUUGUACGGAACGAAAAGGCUCUGGCUAAUACCUGGGGCUCAUGACGGUACCGUAAGAAUAAGCACCGGCUAACUACGUG
This 484-nucleotide ribosomal RNA is filed under the name uncultured bacterium. RNAcentral's name for it is "partial 16S ribosomal RNA". It matches the Rfam family "Bacterial small subunit ribosomal RNA", at positions 30 to 507 of the family's 1533-position model. The record is from RNAcentral.